AGUGAACGCUGGCGGUAGGCCUAACUCAUGCAAGUCGAACGGCAGCACAGUAAGAGCUUGCUCUUACGGGUGGCGAGUGGCGGACGGGUGAGGAAUACAUCGGAAUCUACUUUUUCGUGGGGGAUAACGUAGGGAAACUUACGCUAAUACCGCAUACGACCUACGGGUGAAAGCAGGGGAUCUUCGGACCUUGCGCGAUUGAAUGAGCCGAUGUCGGAUUAGCUAGUUGGCGGGGUAAAGGCCCACCAAGGCGACGAUCCGUAGCUGGUCUGAGAGGAUGAUCAGCCACACUGGAACUGAGACACGGUCCAGACUCCUACGGGAGGCAGCAGUGGGGAAUAUUGGACAAUGGGCGCAAGCCUGAUCCAGCCAUACCGCGUGGGUGAAGAAGGCCUUCGGGUUGUAAAGCCCUUUUUGUUGGGAAAGAAAAGCAGCAGGUUAAUACCCCGCUGUUCUGACGGUACCCAAAGAAUAAGCACCGGCUAACUUCGUG
Molecule: ribosomal RNA, 493 nt
Filed under: uncultured bacterium
Lineage: Bacteria
Description: partial 16S ribosomal RNA
Rfam family: Bacterial small subunit ribosomal RNA
Source: RNAcentral